UAAGUUUCACUUUGGACAUUGCUUGGGCUGGAGCGGGGGUGGGUUUUGUGUUCUGGGGAACUGGUACAUUACUCACUCUGAAGGACAAGUACUCAUGCAUACUGAAGGGAAGGAUGUCCUGCAGAUACAGAAGUGAAGGAGACUACAAGGGAUUGCUUAGCAGCUGCAGCACAACACACAGGCAGUGAGGAGCAGAGCCCAGCAGCUUGGAGAGAUGCAUGCAGCUGCAGAGUUUUCUUCUUCUUCCUGGGAGAGUACUGAGAACACUCGGGUGGUGUUUCUCCUUGAUCAAUGAAGUGUCCCUUACCCCAGCCUUAGUUUCUAUAUUACACUGUGUCAGCCAGAGGCUUAAACACAUGGAAGCUUCUGCUACACUAUUUUUCUUCAUUCAGUAUAUCAUCCCCAGAGAGCACAAGGGAAUAAAUAGAUUUUGUGUCCAAGUCUUGUGUCUAUGUUAUACACAUAGCAAAGUAUUGCUCUGUACACAUGUAUUGAAUAGGAUAAAAUGAAAAAUAAAUAAGUACAGCAUGAUGUUCAUUUUCUGCUCCUAUACUAUUUCUACUCUCUCUAUAAUAUUUACUGGAAGAUUUCUAGAUCCUCAGUUCUAAUACACAACUUUUAACUCUUGCAUAGCAGUUCCUGCGUUGA
This is a long non-coding RNA of Alligator mississippiensis (American alligator), 648 nucleotides long. RefSeq lists it as uncharacterized. The record is from RefSeq and is a predicted model, not a curated record. The transcript is spliced from 3 exons. NCBI's taxonomy places the organism in Eukaryota, Metazoa, Chordata, Crocodylia, Alligatoridae.